Long non-coding RNA from Megalobrama amblycephala (Wuchang bream), 3048 nucleotides. RefSeq lists it as uncharacterized. The record is from RefSeq and is a predicted model, not a curated record. The transcript has 2 exons. Lineage: Eukaryota; Metazoa; Chordata; Actinopteri; Cypriniformes; Xenocyprididae.
AUGCCAAGUCACUUUAAUGUAUUUGCACCAAAAAAUGAUAAACAUUUAUGCUGAUGUCGUCCAAAACCACACUUUGCCAGGGGUGUUUCCAAACUUUUGGAGGGCAGUGUACAUUCUGGGUUUGACUUGCCUACGAUUUUGAGAGCAACACCCAGUUCAUGCAAUAAAUGUGCAUGCAUUUUAUGGGUUUUUUUAGUCGUCUAAUCUUGGCUGUAGUCAUUGAUCAUUUUGGCCCACAGUCCACCCAAAGCCCUCUGUGCAGGAAAACAGUCUGUGGUGGGAGACGGAAAACACAUGACAUGGUAGUGCCACUAAUUAACGUCAUUUCAUCAAUCCAUGACCACCAAAAGCUAUUCAGAUUCCAUAUUGGCUUUCCGGUUUUGCCUGGCUGUGCUUCUGUCUGCGAUGCCCAUCACUACAUUUCCAACAACAGCCUACAUAUCUACAAAACACACAGCUGAUUGGGUUAUGGUAGGAACGGACCAGCCCUCUCUUAAAAAAUUGAGGCAGACCUCCAAGCUGUGGUUGGAGCCAUUCUGCCAGAAUAUUGAGCCGUUUGGAUGCAAGUGUGCCAAACACAUUUAAAGACAUUCCCCAGAGCAAUAACACCAUAUAAUCAAGGCAGGGUUGGGAUGACUCCUGCGAAGAAGCCAUUCUUAAAGCUUGUCGAGAAAGCCAUUGAGGUAAAAAAAAAAAAAAAAAAAGUAGAAAUUUAGAGAAAUGGAUUUAUGUUUUUCAAGUGGUUACUUGAAAUGUCAUGAAAGCCAAAGAAAUGUUCAUAAUCUUAAGUGUGUUUGUAGUACAAAAGUUACACUGUUAAUCUGUCUAGUAAUGAUACCCAUUUUUGUGGAGUUGUGCCUUUAGAAAAAAAAAAAAAAAACAUUAUGUGCCUGUUAAGUGAAAUGUUAACAAUGGCAUUUUAAGUUUGAUUCAGUAAAUUGUCUGUGGGUGUGUAUACAGCCUCUGAAGGAAGUGGUCACAUGUGAGGAUCUUCAGUUGCAGACAUUGCUAUUCUCUGGCACUGAAAGGCGAUCCACCGCAGCUCAGGCAGCAGCUCUCAUCAACAUUCCCAAGCACAAGUCUAGUCAAGAGAUUAAAUCUGAAUUCUUAUGCAGCAAAAUGCUUCUGUACAGGGGCUUUCCUAUGAGCUGUGGCCAAAAAAUGUCAUUGCAAAUAGAUCAAACUGACCACAACUACUUUUGAAUAAAAUUGCUGCUCUGUUUGCCUUCUCCCUGUAUCCUCAUCACACAGCUCUCUGUGCUCAUAUCUGUUUUGCCACUCAUUUCCCACUGUCCUAAGGUUUCAUAAAGGAGCAGAUGAUGACUGGAGAGCUGUACACUUUUACAGUAGUGACUGCACCCCCUGGUGGAAACAUCAGGCACUGCAAGUACUGCCCCACCUAUAACAGGACCUAUCACAGGUUCUGACAAAACAUGUCCCAUUAAUUAGUUAAACUAAAUCAGAAUAAAUGACAGAUGAAUUACAUGAUGGUUGAUGCACAGAUUUAAUUGCAUAUCUAGAAAUGCAAGAGGGCAGAUGCUGAGUGCUAGAAGCACAGAAUUUCCUGUAGAAAUACUGUAGAAACCUUGGGACUAUUCUGACCUUGUUCUGGCUGGGUUCUGGAGGAUGGAACUUCACCAGAUCCAGAACUAGUUGAGCCCUCAUUACAGGGUUAUAAUGCACAUACACAUGAAUGUUGUUGCAGCCAACAUCUUCAACACAGUGUUUUGGAACAUGUACAGUAAGUAACAAAAGUGCAGCUGUGGUUAAAGGGACUACUAAACCAUCAUAAGCUAGAAAAGUGUCUGAAACUGUAACCUGAUUAAUUUAUAAAUAUAUUCAAUUGAAUAGUUUCUUGCUAAUGAGUGUAAAUAUAUUUCACCAGUCUUCCUUUUAAAUGACAAAAAAAAAAACAAAAAAAAACCAAAAAACAAUACAUCCAUCAUAAUAAAUACAAAUGUAUUUAGAACAUUAUUUAGAAAUUGUAGACACUUUCUACAUUGUGAUUUACAUCUUUUUAUAUUCUAAUCAUAAUUUAGUUGGGAAUAACCAGCAUCUCACACAAAAGUCAUAAAUAUCUUCCCUCAUUUCAAUUCAGGUUUACUUUUAGGACAGCAGUUCCCCACAUGUGACCCCAGUCUGGCUUCCAUGGGAGAUCUGCAUAAACUUGUCAAAGCCAGGCACAAAAGAAUUUCAUUCCAUGGAUAUUCAGGGCUUAUUUUCCCCAUGUUUCCCAGCAUAUAACCUCUUCCCAUUUCUUCCUUCAGGCUGUCUGAGGUGAGCUCUAAACCUAGACAAAAAGUGUGCAGCCCUGUAGGCUAUUACCUUAUUUCCCAGGAACAUUCAAUGGUGCACCACCACACUUUGUCCCCAACCAUCUAAACCUGGUCUCCCUGGGAUUGCUAUUAAACGAGAUACAGCUGAAACAAACAUUGGGCACCUGCCGCAACAGGCUAGAUGGGACGGGUGGUAAAAACUAAGUCUUUGCAUUCUUGUGGCCAGGAUGACAAUUUCAGCAGCGGCUCAACUAGGCAAGGAAUCCCACCCAACCCUCAGAGACGUAGACCGAGGUCAAACAGAGACUGUGUUUAGAUUUCACAUAUGCUACACUGCACUGGGGAAAUUGGGUAUGCAACAAUGACCCUCUAUUUGAGUAAAUCAGAGCCCAGAAGAUGCGGCAUGUGCUUCAUGGAAGUGAAAGGUUGGAGAGAUAGGGAUCUGUUGGGCUGGUUCCAGCUCACUCUUGGGUACACCUGGAAGGAGCCCUUAACAUGCUUGACAUGACAGCCCUUGAAUGCUGCAACAAUAUGGACCUUUUCAAUCACAAGGAUCACAGUAGCAACAACAGGUGGGCUACUGGAAUCUUUUGCCAAGUUUCUGUUUGCUAAGCAUGUUCUGUUCUGCUGGAUCAUGACACAGGUAAAGAACAAGGGUGUAAUGGCAUUAUUGAGGAUCUACCCAAGCAACCACGAGGCAAUGACGUCUGCUUUGUUGACACCAGAUGAUAGGGCAUUCAACCUCACAAAUUAAAGAACUGGAUUUAAAAAC